This 497-nucleotide ribosomal RNA is filed under the name uncultured bacterium. RNAcentral describes it as "partial 16S ribosomal RNA". It matches the Rfam family "Bacterial small subunit ribosomal RNA", at positions 28 to 507 of the family's 1533-position model. The record is from RNAcentral.
GAUGAACGCUGGCGGCGUGCCUAAUACAUGCAAGUCGAGCGAACAGAUGAGGAGCUUGCUCCUCUGACGUUAGCGGCGGACGGGUGAGUAACACGUGGAUAACCUACCUAUAAGACUGGGAUAACUUCGGGAAACCGGAGCUAAUACCGGAUAAUAUAUUGAACCGCAUGGUUCAAUAGUGAAAGACGGUUUUGCUGUCACUUAUAGAUGUAUCCGCGCCGCAUUAGCUAGUUGGUAAGGUAACGGCUUACCAAGGCAACGAUGCGUAGCCGACCUGAGAGGGUGAUCAGCCACACUGGAACUGAGACACGGUCCAGACUCCUACGGGAGGCAGCAGUAGGGAAUCUUCCGCAAUGGGCGAAAGCCUGACGGAGCAACGCCGCGUGAGUGAUGAAGGUCUUCGGAUCGUAAAACUCUGUUAGUAGGGAAGAACAAAUGUGUAAGUAACUAUGCACGUCUUGACGGUACCUAAUCAGAAAGCCACGGCUAACUACGUG